GUGGGGAAUCUUCCGCAAUGGACGAAAGUCUGACGGAGCAACGCCGCGUGAGUGAAGAAGGUUUUCGGAUCGUAAAGCUCUUUCGUCAGGGACGAACGUAUUUCUUGUAAAUAAUGAGAGAUAGUGACGGUACCUGAAUAAGAAGCCACGGCUAACUACGUGCCAGCAGCCGCGGUAAUACGUAGGUGGCAAGCGUUGUCCGGAAUUAUUGGGCGUAAAGCGCGCGCAGGCGGGAUAUCAAGUCUGUCUUAAAAGUGCGAGGCUCAACCUCGUGAGGGGACAGAAACUGGUAUUCUUGAGUGUCGGAGAGGAAAGUGGAAUUCCAAGUGUAGCGGUGAAAUGCGUAGAGAUUUGGAAGAACACCAGUGGCGAAGGCGACUUUCUGGACGAUGUCUGACGCUGAGGCGCGAAAGCUAGGGGAGCGAACGGGAUUAGAAACCCUGGUAGUCC
Molecule: ribosomal RNA, 450 nt
Filed under: uncultured bacterium
Lineage: Bacteria
Description: partial 16S ribosomal RNA
Rfam family: Bacterial small subunit ribosomal RNA
Source: RNAcentral